RNAcentral lists this ribosomal RNA (253 nucleotides) under uncultured bacterium. Its description in RNAcentral is "partial 16S ribosomal RNA". It matches the Rfam family "Bacterial small subunit ribosomal RNA", at positions 524 to 776 of the family's 1533-position model. The record is from RNAcentral.
UACGGAGGGAGCUAGCGUUAUUCGGAAUUACUGGGCGUAAAGCGCACGUAGGCGGCUUUGUAAGUUAGAGGUGAAAGCCCGGGGCUCAACUCCGGAAUUGCCUUUAAGACUGCAUCGCUAGAAUUGUGGAGAGGUAAGUAGAAUUCCGAGUGUAGAGGUGAAAUUCGUAGAUAUUCGGAAGAACACCAGUGGCGAAGGCGACUUACUGGACACAUAUUGACGCUGAGGUGCGAAAGCGUGGGGAGCAAACAGG